AGUGAACGCUGGCGGUAGGCCUAACACAUGCAAGUCGAACGGCAGCACAGAGGAGCUUGCUCCUUGGGUGGCGAGUGGCGGACGGGUGAGGAAUACAUCGGAAUCUACUUUUUCGUGGGGGAUAACGUAGGGAAACUUACGCUAAUACCGCAUACGACCUACGGGUGAAAGCAGGGGACCUUCGGGCCUUGCGCGAUUGAAUGAGCCGAUGUCGGAUUAGCUAGUUGGCGGGGUAAAGGCCCACCAAGGCGACGCUCCGUAGCUGGUCUGGGAGGAUGAAGAGCAACACUGGAACUGAGACACGGUCCAGACUCCUACGGGAGGCAACAGUGGGGAAUAUUGGACAAUGGGCGCAAGCCUGAUCCAGCCAUACCGCGUGGGUGAAGAAGGCCUUCGGGUUGUAAAGCCCUUUUGUUGGGAAAGAAAUCCAGCCGGCUAAUACCUGGUUGGGAUGACGGUACCCAAAGAAUAAGCACCGGCUAACUUCGUGCCAGCCGCCGCCGUAA
Molecule: ribosomal RNA, 506 nt
Filed under: uncultured bacterium
Lineage: Bacteria
Description: partial 16S ribosomal RNA
Rfam family: Bacterial small subunit ribosomal RNA
Source: RNAcentral